AACGAACGCUGGCGGCAUGCCUAACACAUGCAAGUCGAACGGGAUCCUAGCUUGCUAGGUGAGAGUGGCGGACGGGUGAGUAACACGUGGGAAUCUGCCUUUUGGUUCGGGAUAACCGCGGGAAACUGCGGCUAAUACCGAAUGCCCUCGAGAGAGGAAAGAUUUAUCGCCAGAAGAGGAGCCCGCGUCCGAUUAGGUAGUUGGUGGGGUAAAGGCCUACCAAGCCGACGAUCGGUAGCUGGUCUGAGAGGAUGAUCAGCCACACUGGGACUGAGAUACGGCCCAGACUCCUACGGGAGGCAGCAGUGGGGAAUAUUGGACAAUGGGGGCAACCCUGAUCCAGCAAUGCCGCGUGAGUGAUGAAGGCCUUAGGGUUGUAAAGCUCUUUGUCAGGGAAGAAACGGCCUUUUCUAAUACAAGGGGCUAAUGACGGUACCUGAAGAAUAAGCACCGGCUAACUACGUGCCAGCAGCCGCGGUAAU
RNAcentral lists this ribosomal RNA (482 nucleotides) under uncultured bacterium. RNAcentral describes it as "bacterial SSU rRNA". It matches the Rfam family "Bacterial small subunit ribosomal RNA", at positions 29 to 524 of the family's 1533-position model. The record is from RNAcentral.